This 10804-nucleotide long non-coding RNA is filed under the name Medicago truncatula (barrel medic). RNAcentral describes it as "long non-coding RNA (MTRU_LNC001042)". The record is from RNAcentral. Lineage: Eukaryota; Viridiplantae; Streptophyta; Magnoliopsida; Fabales; Fabaceae.
GGUCAUCGAGGCAUCAUAAUAAUUUCAAAACUCAGUCUCAUAUAUCAUAUCUGAGUGACAAUUCUAGUCUAGAAUUGCACUCAAGAUCGUAAAAUCACCGAGGCAUCCAAACAUUUACAAAAUUUAAUGGAACAAAUAAUAUCUGUCAAUUCUUUUCGGGUCAUCGAUCAAGGCAUCGUAAUAAUUUCAAAACUCAGGCUCAUAUAUCAUAUCCGAGUGACAAUUCUAGUCUAGAAUUGCACUCAAGAUUGUAAAAUCACCGAGGCAUCCCAACAUUUACAAAAUUUAAUGGAACGAAUAAAUAUCCGUCAAUUCUUUUCGGGUCAUCGAUCAAAGCAUCGUAAUAAUUUCAAAACUCAGGCUCAUAUACAUUAUUUUCUUCCUUUGAAAUGUAUCUCAAUUUCUUUUAUAUACGUAAACUUUGAGAUGCCUAUACCAUAUUUUGCAUAAACUUAACAAUUCUCAAUCAAAAUUAGGAAUCAGGAAAUAUGAAUAAUGAGAAUACCUCCAAAUUGCAAGAUUUUCAAAUUGUUGCAACAUAUAAGUAUAAAACGUUUUGAAUAUUAUCACUUAUGCCUUUGAAGAACUUUUGAAGAACCAAGAACUUCAUCAACUCCUUCGAUAGAGUCAUUCAAAUAUACCUCGACUCCAAAAGCUAAGAGUAUAAUUUAUCCCUCAAGACUAACAGUAGAUGGCUAGUCACUUAAACUAUAAAGUCCCUCAUCCUAUGGUGACCGACUUGUAGGCUCAAAAAGAACAGUCUUAGAAUUUUAUUGAGUCAUAAAAGUGCAACAGGGACCAUCCCUUACGUAAUGAAUAAAAAUCCACACCAAUAUCACAUUUAAGGCAUUAUCUAGCCUUCACAUUAUAAGUUAAGUGUGACUGAAGUUUCGAUACAUCCCAACACUUACAAAAUUAAGUCUCAUAUUUCAUCUCUCAUACACAAAAUUUCUACAUAUUCAUUCCUUUAGGGUUGUCAAGGCACCCUAAACAUUUCAAAAUUUAGGCUCAUAUAUGAAGGGUUUGUCUACAUUUGUAUAAAGCAGAAGAUUGAAAGUUCUUGUGAAAAUAGUUAGCCUAACAACAUGCACCAAAUAUUAUAAAACCAAAAGGAUUUGUGGAAAUUUCAUUACCUUGACUAACAAACAAAUUGUCUUUCAAAACAUCAGUACCAAAAGGGUCUCCAUACAAAAGCAAAGUUUGCUGAAUCAUUCUGGUACUACCAAUUCCACUAUUAAAAAAUUCAAGAAUUAAAACCUGAAAAGCAAGAGAGGUAUAAAUGUUACCAUUGAAGGUGAAACUGCAAAUUUUUAAAUUGCAUGUUUUAAAGAAGAUGAAAGGACCGAACAAUGUGUGUUUCAUCUUAUUUAAACACAUCAUAACCUCUGAAGAGGAAUGCAGAGAAGUAAGAGAAGUAAUGAGGCAUCCCAUAUAGCACGCAAUGACAAAUCACAGUCUAAAAGUGAACUCGAUGCCAUAAAAACACAACGAAUACUAGUAUUUUCGGAUUGACUUUUCCACAACUGGGUGCACGUCCCAAUGCCAUGUUUUCUGAGAAGCUACAAAAUGAAACUUCAGCACAGAUGUGUGUUUGGUGUGAUUCUACCAUGGAAACAGACAUGCAAUACAAAGCUUUAUAUUAUGAAUACAAAUUCAUAUCAAUAUCGCUCGCAUGUAAGACAUCAUCAAACUUUAAAUUAUGAUUGCAGUGUUCAUGAUGUUCCUUUUAGGGUCAAAUGAGGCAUCCCAUCUCAAAAUUCAUUGAACAAAUAAUAUUCAUAAUUCAUAUUCUUUUCGGGUCAUCGAGGCAUCCUAUAUUCCAUCUCAAUGUGGCAAUUUACAAUUUAGAAUUGCAUUCAGGGUUAUAAAAGCACACAAUGGAUCCAUCCAUUAUAUUACGAAUAAAAAUUCAUAACAAAAUCAAAUUUAAGGCAUCAUACAACUUUUACAUUGUGAGUGAAGUAUUCGUAAUGUUUCCUUUAGGGUCAUCGAGGCAUUCACACACCUGCAACAUUUAUAGAACAUAUAAUAUCCAUUGAUUCAUUUAGGAUCAUCAAGGCAUCUAACAUUUCAUCUCGUAGUGGCAAUCGAUAGUCUAGAAUUGCAUUCAGGGUUAUAAAAGUACGACGAAUCCAUCCCUUAUAUUAUGAAUAAAGAUUGAUAUUAGGGUCAUCGAUUUUUACAUUAUGAGUGAAGUGUUCAAAAUAUUUCCUUUAGGAUCAUUGAGGCAUCCAAACACUUGUAACAUUUAUGAAACAAAUCAUAAUCAUUAAUUCUUUUCGGGUCAUAGAGACAUUAUGAAUGAAUAAAAAUUCAUAACAAUUUCACAUUUAAGGCAUCAUCCAACCUUUAUAUUAUGGGUAAAGUGUUCAUAAUGUUUGCUUCAGGGUCAUUUAGGCAUCUUGUAACACUUCUGAGAUAAAUAAUAUCCAUCAAUUCCUUUCGGGUCAUCGAGGCAUCAUUUCAAAACCCAGGCUCAAAUAUCAUAUGGGUCAUCGAGGCAUGCAAACACUUGCAAUAUUUAUGGGACAAAUAAUAUCGAUCAAUUCCUUUCGGGUCAUUGAGACAUUAUAAUAAUUUCAAAACUCAGGCUCAUAUAUCAUAUUUGAGUGACAAUUCAUAGUCUAGAAUUGCACUCAAGAUCAUAUAUAAUCACUGAGACAUCUCAACAUUUAGAAAAUAGUUUCCUUUAAAAUCACCGAGGCAUCCCAACAUUUACAAAAUUUAAUGGGACAAAUUAUGUCCAUCAAUUCUUUUCGGGACAUCAAGGCAUCAUAAUAAUUUCAAAACUCAGGCUCAUAUAUUUGAGUGACAAUUCAUAGUCUAGAAUUGCACUCAAGAUCGUAAAAUCACUGAGGCAUCCCAACAUUUACAAAAUGUAGAUUUCUUUAAAAUCACCGAGGCAUCCCAACAUUUACAAAAUUUAAUGGGACAAAUAAUAUCCGUUAAUUAGGGUUGGGAAUAGGCCAGGCUGGCAUACAGGGGCCUACGGCCUAGCCUGUUUUGGCCUGGUCUGGCCUGACCUGUUUAGUAGAUAGGCUUAGGCUUAGGCUUUUUAAAAAGCUUGUUUAGUUAAAUAGGUCAGGCUUAGGCUUUCAGAAAAGCCUGUUAAGUCUAAUAGGCCGACCUAUUAAUACUUAUUUAUUAAAAAAUAUUUUUUAUAUUAAAAUAAUUGCAUAAAUUAAAAAUAUAAACAUCUUUUUCUCUAUCUAUUAGUCCCUAAAUAGGUUUUGUUGUUAUAGGCUUUUAAGUAGACUUUAAUCUAGUUAAAAUUUACUUGUAGUUAAAUAGGCUUUUAAGUAGGCUUUAAGGCAUGUUUAGCUUAUUUAGUAGGCCAAAUGAACUAUUUGAUGACCUUAAUAUAAAGUAGGCCUGUAAGUAGGCUUUCAGGCCAGUCCAGGCUUUUAAAUAGGUCAGGCCAGGCCAAGAAAAACGGCCUAUAAUAGGCCACAGGCCAGGCUCAGGCUUGUAAAUUUUUUCGUAGGCCAGGCUCAGGCCUAUCAAAGCCUGGCCUGGCCUAUUCCCACCCCUACCGUCAAUUCUUUUCGGGUCAUCGAUCAAGGCAUCGUAAUAAUUUCAAAACUCAGGCUCAUAUAUCAUAUCUGAGUGACAAUUUUAGUCUAGAAUUGCACUCAAGAUUGUAAAAUCACAGAUGCAUCCCAACAUUUACAAUAUUUAAUGGAAAAAAUAAUAUCCGUCAAUUCUUUUCGGGUCAUCGAUCAAGGCAUCGUAAUAAUUUCAAAACUCAGGCUCAUAUAUCAUAUCUGAGUGACAAUUUUAGUCUAGAAUUGCACUCAAGAUUGUAAAAUCACCGAGGCAUCCCAACAUUUACAAAAUUUAAUGGAACAAAUAAUUUCCGUCAAUUCUUUUCGGGUCAUCGAUCAAGGCAUCAUAAUAAUUUCAAAACUCAGGCUCAUAUAUCAUAUCUGAGUGACAAUUCUAGUCUAGAAUUGCACUCAAGAUCGUAAAAUCACCGACUCAUCCUAACAUUUACAAAAUUUAAUGGAACAAAUAAUAUCUGUCAAUUCUUUUCGGGUCAUCGAUCAAGACAUCGUAAUAAUUUCAAAACUCAGGCUCAUAUAUCAUAUCCGAGUGACAAUUCUAGUCUAGAAUUGCACUCAAGAUUGUAAAAUCACCGAGGCAUCCCAAAAUUUACAAAAUUUAAUGGAACGAAUAAUAUCUGUCAAUUCUUUUCGGGUCAUCGAUCAAGGCAUCGUAAUAAUUUCAAAACUCAGGCUUAUAUAUCAUAUCUGAGUGACAAUUUUAGUCUAGAAUUGCACUCAAGAUUGUAAAAUCACCGAGACAUCCCAACAUUUACAAAAUUUAAUGGAACAAAUAAUUUCCAUCAAUUCUUUUCGGGUAAUCGAUCAAGGCAUCGUAAUAAUUUCAAAACUCAGGCUCAUAUAUCAUAUCUGAGUGACAAUUUUAGUCUAGAAUUGCACUCAAGAUUGUAAAAUCACCGAGGCAUCCCAACAUUUACAAAAUUUAAUGGAACAAAUAAUUUCCGUUAAUUCUUUUCUGGUCAUCGAUCAAUACAUCCUAAUAAUUUCAAAACUCGGGCUCAUAUAUCAUAUCUGAGUGACAAUUCUAGUCUAGAAUUGCACUCAAGAUCGUAAAAUCACCGAGGCAUCCAAACAUUUACAAAAUUUAAUGGAACAAAUAAUAUCUGUCAAUUCUUUUCGGGUCAUCGACCAAGGCAUCCUAAUAAUUUCAAAACUCAGGCUCAUAUAUCAUAUCCGAGUGACAAUUCUGGUCUAGAAUUGCACUCAAGAUUGUAAAAUCACCGACGCAACCCAACAUUUACAAAAUUUAAUGGAACGAAUAAUAUCCGUCAAUUUUUUUCUUCCUUUGAAAUGUAUCUCAAUUUCUUUUAUAUACGUAAACUUUGAGAUGCCUAUUCCACAUUUUGCAUAAACUUAACAACUCUCAAUCAAAAUUAGGAAUCAGGAAAUAUGAAUAAUGAGAAUACCUCCAAAUUGCAAGAUUUUCAAAUUGUUGCAACAUAUAAGUAUAAAACGUUUUGAAUAUUAUCACUUAUGCCUUUGAAGAACUUUUGAAGAACCAAGAACUUCAUCAACUCCUUCGAUAGAGUCAUUCAAAUAUACCUCGACUCCAAAAGCUAAGAGUAUAAUUUAUCCCUCAAGACUAACAGUAGAUGGCUAGUCACUUAAACUAUAAAGUCCCUCAUCCUAUGGUGACCGACUUGUAGGCUCAAAAAGAACAGUCUUAGAAUUUUAUUGAGUCAUAAAAGUGCAACAGGUACCAUCCCUUACGUAAUGAAUAAAAAUCCACACCAAUAUCACAUUUAAGGCAUUAUCUAGCCUUCACAUUAUAAGUGAAGUUUCGAUACAUCCCAACACUUACACAAUUAAGUCUCAUAUUUCAUCUCUCAUACACAAAAUUUCUACAUAUUCAUUCCUUUAUGGUUGUCAAGGCACCCUAAACAUUUCAAAAUUUAGGCUCAUAUAUGAAGGGUUUGUCUACAUUUGUAUAAAGCAGAAGAUUGAAAGUUCUUGUGAAAAUAGUUAGCCUAACAACAUGCACCAAAUAUUAUAAAACCAAAAGGAUUUGUGGAAAUUUCAUUACCUUGACUAACAAACAAAUUGUCUUUCAAAACAUCAGUACCAAAAGGGUCUCCAUACAAAAGCAAAGUUUGCUGAAUCAUUCUGGUACUACCAAUUCCACUAUUAAAAAAUUCAAGAAUUAAAACCUGAAAAGCAAGAGAGGUAUAAAUUUUACCAUUGAAGGUGAAACUGCAAAUUUUUAAAUUGCAUGUUUUAAAGAAGAUGAAAGGACCGAACAAUGUGUGUUUCAUCUUAUUUAAACACAUCAUAACCUCUGAAGAGGAAUGUAGAGAAGUAAUGAGGCAUCCCAUAUAGCACGUAAUGACAAAUCACAGUCUAAAAGUGAACUCGAUGCCAUAAAAACACAACGAAUACUAGUAUUUUUGGAUUGACUUUUCCACAACUGGGUGCACGUCCCAAUGCCAUGUUUUCUGAGAAGCUACAAAAUGAAACUUCAGCACAGAUGUGUGUUUGGUGUGAUUCUACCAUGGAAACAGACAUGCAAUACAAAGCUUUAUAUUAUGAAUACAAAUUCAUAUCAAUAUCGCUCGCAUGUAAGACAUCAUCAAACUUUAAAUUAUGAUUGCAGUGUUCAUGAAGUUCCUUUUAGGGUCAAAUGAGGCAUCCCAUCUCAAAAUUCAUGGAACAAAUAAUAUUCAUGAUUCAUAUUCUUUUCGGGUCAUCGAGGCAUCCUAUAUUCCAUCUCAAUGUGGCAAUUUACAAUUUAGAAUUGCGUUCAGGGUCAUAAAAGCACACAAUGGAUCCAUCCAUUAUAUUACGAAUAAAAAUUCAUAACAAAAUCACAUUUAAGGCAUCAUACAACUUUUACAUUGUGAGUGAAGUAUUCGUAAUGUUUCCUUUAGUGUCAUCGAGGCAUCCACACACCUGCAACAUUUAUGGAACAUUUAAUAUCCAUUGAUUCAUUUAGGAUCAUCAAGGCAUCUAACAUUUCAUCUCGUAGUGGCAAUCGAUAGUCUAGAAUUGCAUUCAGGGUUAUAAAAGUACGACGAAUCCAUCCCUUAUAUUAUGAAUAAAGAUUGAUAUUAGGGUCAUCGAUUUUUACACUAUGAGUGAAGUGUUCAAAAUAUUUCCUUUAGGGUCAUUGAGGCAUCCAAACACUUGUAACAUUUAUGAAACAAAUCAUAUCCAUUAAUUUUUUUCGGGUCAUAGAUGCAUUAUGAAUGAAUAAAAAAAUUCAUAACAAUCUCACAUUUAAGGCAUCAUCCAACCUUUAUAGUAUGGGUAAAGUGUUCAUAAUGUUUGCUUCAGGGUCAUCUAGGCAUCUUGUCACACUUCUGAGAUAAAUAAUAUCCAUCAAUUCCUUUCGGGUCAUCGAGGCAUCAUUUCAAAACCCAGGCUCAAAUAUCAUAUGGGUCAUCGAGGCAUGCAAACACUUGCAAUAUUUAUGGGACAAAUAAUAUCGAUCAAUUCCUUUUGGGUCAUUGAGGCAUUAUAAUAAUUUCAAAACUCAGACUCAUAUAUCAUAUUUGAGUGACAAUUCAUAGUCUAGAAUUGCACUCAAGAUCAUAUAUAAUCACUGAGACAUCUCAACAUUUAGAAAAUAGUUUCCUUUAAAAUCACCGAGGCAUCCCAACAUUUACAAAAUUUAAUGGGACAAAUUAUGUCCAUCAAUUCUUUUCGGGACAUCAAGGCAUCAUAAUAAUUUCAAAACUCAGGCUCAUAUAUUUGAGUGACAAUUCAUAGUCUAGAAUUGCACUCAAGAUCGUAAAAUCACCAAGGCAUCCCAACAUUUACAAAAUUCAAUGGGACAAAUUAUAUCCGUCAAUUAUUUUCGGGUCAUCGAGGCAUCAUAAUAAUCUCAAAACUCAGGCUCAUAUAUCAUAUCUAAGUGACAAUUCUAGUCUAGAAUUGCACUCAAUAUCGUAAAAUCACCGAGGCAUCCAAACAUUUACAAAAUUUAAUGGAACAAAUAAUAUAUGUCAAUUCUUUUCAGGUCAUCGAUCAAGGCAUCGUAAUAAUUUCAAAACUCAGGCUCAUAUAUCAUAUCCGAGUGACAAUUCUAGUCUAGAAUUGCACUCAAGAUUGUAAAAUCACCGAGGCAUCCCAACAUUUACAAAAUUUAAUGGAACAAAUAAUAUCCGUCAAUUCUUUUCGGGUCAUCGAUCAAGGCAUCGUAAUAAUUUCAAAACUCAGGCUCAUAUAAAUUAUUUUCUUCCUUUUAAAUGUAUCUCAAUUUCUUUUAUAUACGUAAACUUUGAGAUGCCUAUACCAUAUUUUGCAUAAACUUAACAACUCUCAAUCAAAAUUAUGAAUCAGGAAAUAUGAAUAAUGAGAAUACCUCCAAAUUGCAAGAUUUUCAAAUUGUUGCAACAUAUAAGUAUAAAACGUUUUGAAUAUUAUCACUUAUGCCUUUGAAGAACUUUUGAAGAACCAAGAACUUCAUCAACUCCUUCGAUAGAGUCAUUCAAAUAUACCUCGACUCCAAAAGCUAAGAGUAUAAUUUAUUCCUCAAGACUAACACUAGAUGGCUAGUCACUUAAACUAUAAAGUCCCUCAUCCUAUGCUGACCGACUUGUAGGCUCAAAAAGCACAGUCUUAAAAUUUUAUUGAGUCAUAAAAGUGCAACAGGUACCAUCCCUUAUGUAAUGAAUAAAAAUCCACACCAAUAUCACAUUUAAGGCAUUAUCUAGCCUUCACAUUAUAAGUUAAGUGUGACUGAAGUUUCGAUAUAUCCCAACACUUACAAAAUUAAGUCUCAUAUUUCAUCUCUCAUACACAAAAUUUCUACAUAUUCAUUCCUUUAGGGUUGUCAAGGCACCCUAAACAUUUCAAAAUUUAGGCUCAUAUAUGAAGGGUUUGUCUACAUUUGUAUAAAGCAGAAGAUUGAAAGUUCUUGUGAAAAUAGUUAGCCUAACAACAUGCACCAAAUAUUAUAAAACCAAAAGGAUUUGUGGAAAUUUCAUUACCUUGACUAACAAACAAAUUGUCUUUCAAAACAUCAGUACCAAAAGGGUCUCCAUACAAAAACAAAGUUUGCUGAAUCAUUCUGGUACUACCAAUUCCACUAUUAAAAAAUUCAAGAAUUAAAACCUGAAAAGCAAGAGAGGUAUAAAUGUUACCAUUGAAGGUGAGACUGCAAAUUUUUUAAAUUGCAUGUUUUAAAGAAGAUGAAAGGACGGAACAAUGUGUUUCAUCUUAUUUAAACACAUCAUAACCUCUGAAGAGGAAUGCAGAGAAGUAAGAGAAGUAAUGAGGCAUCCCAUAUAGCACGCAAUGACAAAUCGCAGUCUAAAAGUGAACUCGAUGCCAUAAAAACACAACAAAUACUAGUAUGUUUGGAUUGACUUUUCCACAACUGGGUGCACGUCCCAAUGCCACGUUUUCUGAGAAGCUACAAAAUGAAACUUCAGCACAGAUGUGUGUUUGGUGUGAUUCUACCAUGAAAACAGACAUGCAAUACAAAGCUUUAUAUUAUGAAUACAAAUUCAUAUCAAUAUCGCUCGCAUGUAAGACAUCGUCAAACUUUAAAUUAUGAUUGCAGUGUUCAUGAUGUUCCUUUUAGGGUCAAAUGAGGCAUCCCAUCUCAAAAUUCAUGGAACAAAUAAUAUUCAUGAUUCAUAUUCUUUUCGAGUCAUCGAGGCAUCCUAUAUUCCAUCUCAAUGUGGAAAUUUACAAUUUAGAAUUGCAUUCAGGCUCGUAUAUCAUAUCUGAGCGACAAUUCUAGUCUAGAAUUGCACUCAAGAUCGUAAAAUCAACAGGGCAUCCCAACAUUUACAAAAUUCAAUGGAACAAAUUAUAUCCGUCAAUUCUUUUCGGGUCAUCGAGGCAUUAUAAUAAUUUCAAAACUCAGGCUCAUAUAUCAUAUCUGAGUGACAAUUAUAGUCUAGAAUUGCACUCAAGAUCGUAAAAUCACCGAGGCAUCCAAACAUUUACAAAAUUUAAUGGAAUAAAUAAUAUCCGUCAAUUCUUUUCGGGUCAUCGAUCAAAGCAUCGUAAUAAUUUCAAAACUCAGGCUCAUAUAUCAUAUCUGAGUGACAAUUUUAGUCAAGAAUUGCACUCAAGAUUGUAAAAUCACCGAGGCAUCCCAACAUUUACAAAAUGUAAUGGAACAAAUAAUAUCCGUCAAUUCUUUUUGGGUCAUCGAUCAAGGCAUCAUAAUAAUUUCAAAACUCAGGCUCGUAUAUCAUAUCCAAGUGACAAUUCUAGUCUAGAAUUGCACUCAAGAUUGUAAAAUCACCGAGGCAUCCCAACAUUUACAAAAUUUAAUGGAACAAAUAAUAUCAUUCUUUUCGGGUCAUGGAUCAAGGCAUCAUAAUAAUUUCAAAACUUAAGCUCAUAUAUCAUAUCUGAGAGACAAUUCUAGUCUAGAUUUGCACUCAAGAUUGUAAAAUCACCGAGGCAUCCCAACAUUUACAAAAUUUAAUGGAACAAAUAAUAUCCGUCAAUUAUUUUUGGGUCAUCGAUCAAGGCAUCAACAAUUGUAGUCUAGAAUUGCACUUAAGAUUGUAAAAUCACCGAGGCAUCCCAACAUUUACAAAUUUAAUGGAACAAAUAAUAUCCGUCAAUUCUUUUCGGGUCAUCGAUCAAGACAUUAUAAUAAUUUCAAAACUCAGACUCAGAUAUAAUAUAUGAGUGACAAUUCUAGUCUAGAAUUGCACUCAAGAUUGUAAAAUCACCUAGGCAUCAUUUACAAAAUUUAAGGAGCAAAAAGUAAUAUGCAUCGUUUCCAUCCAUUACCUAAGAUUGUAUCAUCCUUUUCAAAUUACCAAAAUUGAUUUCAACUCAAAGAGGCGAUCACAGUAAAGAAUUAAAUUCAUGUCAUAAAAGAUAUCAUCCAACUCUACAUUAUGAAUUUUUUUAAGUCAAGGAAACCUAACGGUUUCAACAUUUAGGCUCAAAUAUUGUGAAAAAGAAUGAUCUUGCAGAGUUUCACACGUUUAUGGGGUUUGUUAAAUUGUACAGGGCUGUUGUUGUUAAAGCAGAAAAUUGAAGGUUGUUGAAUAAGGAAGAAUAUAGGGUUUAUGAAUAUUCAAGAAUCAAAAUCUAAAAAUCAAGAUAAAGUUAGAAAUGUACCGUUGAAAAUGAAAGGGGGACAGAACAGAGCGUGUUUCGUCGCUUUCUUGAAGAAAAAAGAAUUCGGCAACGAUUCCUACGAAACCUUUGAAUCGGAACGGUAUUGAUUUUCAUGUUUCGAUUCUUUGAAUUAUUUUAGAUUUAACGCAGUGUUUUCCAUUUAUCGGCUUUUCUACUGGGCUUUUGAUUUUAAUGGCAUGUUGAGC